UUCCUCACUGCUCAGGUAUGGGCGCUGCACUCCCGACGGCUCCCAGCCAGGCGGCCCCACCCGGGAGACAGCCCUCCCCCAGGGCAGGAGAACGCCCUGCUUGGGGACCAGGGAAGGAGAGCAGAAGCGCGGGAAAUCACUGCCACUCCUGUAUUUAUUUUUCCCUAGAAUGCUCACACACACACACACACAAACACCAAAAACAAAGUACCUGUUUGGCAGUAAGGGCCGGAUUGGACAGUGAGCUCUGAUGCCCCCCUCGGCUCCUACAACAAUAAGGGGAGUUUUACCUUAAGCACAAGCAACACAGAGCAGAGGAGCUGUUCCUGAAGAGAAUACUGGCAACAUUUGCCCCAGGGCAUUUGAGAAGAAGUGUUUGAAAUUUGGUACCUUCCUAAACAGUGGCCUCCCGUGAUCCUGUGGAGAUGAAGGCAGACAGUAAGAACCAGCUGAGCUGCACAUGGGACGACAGACACACAGCUUCCCACACAGGGGGACGGACAGGCCGGGAUGUAUGCGGCGUCACGCCACACGUCAGGGCUGGCAGGUCAGGCUUGGCCAGGCUGCGCUCGGACGCCUCUGGCGGCAACGGCGAACUGGGACUCCGCACUACGUGGUUCUGGGACUGUGCUGACGUCUAACCCACUGGUCCUCGGAUGGCUCUGGGGCUCAGUUCCUCUUCCCCAGGACAGCAGCUUGACCCUCCAGCGCAUCCUCCAGAAACCCUCCUGGCCCCCAGCCCUCACUGCUCAGGGCUGUGUGCACCGCGGCUCUGAAAUAGCCGGAACCGACCUCGUCUGUUUAUCUCCCUGACAUGUUGAGUCAGAUGCGGAGGACAUCUCUGGGUGUGGGUAACAGCACAGGGCAGGGUGAGGCCCCCCACCUCCCUGCUGUGCUGAUACUCUCCCGCCACGGCAGCCGGGUCAACCAACCACAUGUGCACGUCACAGCCGCGGAUGCCAGCGACCUGCACCGUGCUUGCGAUUACAAGCCAGACCCCACCCUCCUCACUGGUGCCCGGAGAUUUCUGGAUCUGCCCUAAGGAGCUGUCUGCUGCCCCAGCCCUUCAGUCUAUGGAAACAUCCUUGGAAAAGCUGAGAAACAUUAGCAUGGAUGCAAAUUUCCAGAGGCCUUCACCACCCUCCCAGCAGAAUGCAGAGUUUCGUGGGAGAAGACUUGGCUGAAGAAGGGAAGGCCUCACUGAAUCUUGAGAUGCAUGAUCGGGAGAGGGUGGCGCCAGGCAGGGGCAAGGGGAGGAAGCAGCGGGAAGAGUGAUGCCAGGUGGCCUGCGAGCUCUGCCUGUGAAGAGGCAUCCCCGCAGAAGGGCUUGGCCACCUGCACUCGGUUUGCUCCUGGGCAGCGGCACAGCGAGGGAGGCAGGCAGAGCCAGACACUGUCAGAGGCCUGGGGCAGGGGCCUGGGCCAGCAGUCCCAGCUUCUGCAGCACGUUGGCCGGAGGCCCCUAGUCAUUAGCCAACGGCACUGCUGAGGAUGGUGCUAAUUCCAACAUGCUGCUUCUACCCGAAGACUGACCUCAGCUCUUCGGCUCCUGAGCACCACACUGCUGCCGGUGGCCCUGAGCCCUGCAGCCCUCCCCAAGGACCAGCUGGCAAGUCGAACUCCCUCACCCUGUCCCUGUGAGCCUGGCGUUUGUAUCCAGGUCAGGUUGGGCCUAUCGCUCUAGCCUGCUGAACUAUUGUGGGGGACUCUUUGCCAUGCAAUAUAGUUGGUAUCCACCCCUUUCCAACGGGUAUCAGAUACAGUGACCCUGUUUCCUUGUCUCCGUCAGGUGCUCAGGAGCCUUGGAUCUGAGGCGUUGGGGUGGAACCCAGGUGCCCCUAGAGACCUCCUUGGGGUUUCCUCCUGCUGGGAUCACUGCCCCAGGAGAGGGAGGCUCCCUGCCUCUGCACCUGCCUCCCCAUGGGUGCGCCGAACGAGCGGCACUUGGCCUAGGACGCUGGUGUCCGGCUUCUCACCGACACACUGUCUGGAAAUACUUCAUGUAGUGUUUUUGUCAAAUGCCUGUAUCAUGACCAGAGACUCGAUGUCCAUCAGACUCAGUACCUGGAGAGGACAUGGGAGUAUCUUUACUCUGUAAACCGCAGGCUCCACCGGGCAAGCGGCAACUCCUCCCAGUGUUCAGAAACAGUGUUAAGUGAUCAUUCUAAACACUGUCCUCAAUUUGCAGCAAGUUCAUGCAAGUGGCUGUGAGAUCCAGCUCCUGCUUUCUGACACGGGGUAGAUGAGUGAUGCUGAUGCAUCUCAGGCGCUCAUGGCUCCUUUGGGCUGGGAUCCCAAGUAGGCGGAGAUCAGCUGUCCCAUCGGCGUGUUUCCGGGAGCCCAACCUUCAUGUAACACUGUCCACCGUUCCACACCAGACCUGGUUCCCUCCCAGGAAGGCUCACCUGGCCACCUCAGACUCCAGACAGCAGCCACCUCCCACCAGACCAAGGUGAAGCCACCCUCUCAUCUGCCUCUCUGGCUGGUGCCACUCACUCAGCUCCCAUAGGCACUGCUUGAGGCCACCUGCCUUUGACUGCCACGCUGAAAGAACGGGUUGUCCCGUGAGACGGGGCUGCGCAGGAGGACUGCACCGCAUGGCCCCGAUGAGCUCCUCUAAGCCCAGGGCUUCAAGCAGGGAGGCUGGCCGGGCUUGCCGUGAGGCCGUGGUGUGCCGCCGGCCCACCCACCAGCUAGUCACUCAGAGGUCAUUCAGUAGUCCUGGGGCCAUGACUGUCUGCAGCCCCGUGGACACUGUCAAGUCAUUCACACGGCAGCCAGGCCUGGUACCUGAGUACCAGAGGUUCUGCAGGAGACCGUGGUGUGAGAGGGGCCUGGGGCUUGCAGGGAGACCCCUGGGUUUCACUUCUGGGUCUACCAAGUCUUAGGGCCACCGUGGGCCACCACACCACUUGCUGCCAAGUGAGGACAUGACAUCCCACUGCCACAUUCAUGCAGGAGCACCAGGAUGGGGCAUGCAGGCACAGGGCCCCGGGGGUCCCUGGUCUUACAGAGCAGAGCCGCGGGGGGCAGCCACGCUUUCCCAGCCGCAGUGCCAGGGCGCAGACACAGUCCUGAUGCUGGUCCUGGUGGCUUCGGGGAGGUUCCCGGGAGGAGCGCUCAGCCCUGGCUCGUCUUGUGUCAGUUUCGGGAACAGAGGCACACAGCUCACACACUGACGGUUAGCCACACAGCAUAAUUACAGGGUGUUUAGUUACAUCGAUUCUAAGCCACGUUCUUGAUCAAGAUGCGUGCUCACUGCCUGCAGAAGGCUAACGGAGCCACAGCCGGGCUCUCCAGACAUCCCAGCCCCCUAGGUUUGGGCUUAGCACUGUGACCACCAAGGAGCAUAUGGGCCUGGGUGUGUUCUUAUGCUUUAAGCAGCCAUGAAAGUCAGGUAUGUCACCUACCUCCACAAGUGAAACUCACUGCACGGUGCAGAGAAGUCCGACGUGGGACACCUGCCUUAUGCUGCUUACUCCCUGUGGCACUGGCAGGGUCUCCAUGGUACACUCGGUAUGUGGGAACAGAGCUCUGAUCUGCAGACCCACCUUCUGGAAGCCUCAUUACCAUGAACACGUGGUGCAGACAGUGCUGCCCGGGGAAAUCUACUGACCACGUAAAUGCAGAAUCACAGUCAACAACACAUACUCAAAUUUUUAGAGAACUCUGGGAACAAUGCAGCUGAUAAACAGCAUCCUAUACGUAUUAGACUCUUCCUUCUGAAAUCGUUUGAAGGCUUUUUGGAUGAAGGCGUGUGAUGGGUCCAGAGUGAGAGAACUGGUUGCCCUGUUUGCUGUUUAAUACCAAAUACCUAGAUUGUGACAUCAUAGCUGGUUUAAUAGAUGCCUUUUGUUUUUAUGACAUGAAGAUUACUGCCAUAUGUUUGGGAAACUUUUUGAUAAAAUAUCAAAACCAAA
Manis javanica (Malayan pangolin) is the source of this 3920-nucleotide non-coding RNA. The record is from RefSeq and is a predicted model, not a curated record. NCBI's taxonomy places the organism in Eukaryota, Metazoa, Chordata, Mammalia, Pholidota, Manidae.